UGAAAUGCUGUGAAGAGGAAGAGUAAAGCAACUUGAACCAUAAGAGAGGAAGCGCCAUGGGCUGUAAGCGCUUCUUGGGAAGAGUGUUUGAAAACCACCUCGGAGCAGAGAGCUGAAUUCAGUAAGCUUAUCCGUUGAUUACGUUACAAUCAUAGAGUUAAAAAUAGGGUGGAACCGCGACUAACUCUCGCCCCUUUG
Molecule: non-coding RNA, 198 nt
Filed under: Lutispora thermophila
Lineage: Bacteria; Bacillati; Bacillota; Clostridia; Lutisporales; Lutisporaceae
Description: T-box sequence
Rfam family: T-box leader
About the family: Uncharged tRNA acts as the effector for transcription antitermination of genes in the T-box leader family. T-boxes are found upstream of many aminoacyl-tRNA synthetase genes and some amino acid biosynthetic genes usually in Gram-positive bacteria.
Source: RNAcentral